GGAGAUCACAAGUAUGGGUGAUCAGAGUUCUUUGAAACCAAUACUGAAAAAUCCAAGGUGGUUCAAACCACCAUGCACAAUAGGAGGGUGCCCUGAAUAGGAAAUAGGCACUGAUUGUUUAAAUGAGCCUGCAUAAACCACUUGGAAAAGGAUGGUUUUAUCAGUGGGAGACCUAAUUCUACAUGAUCCCCCAGAUCAGCAUGAUCUACUGAUUGACAUAACUGGGGUGUUGAACUCCCCUACUCUUAUGCUAUUUUUGUCAAUUUCUCCCUUUAUGUCUCUUAACAUUUGCUUUGUAUAUAAUCAGGUUGCUUGUAUGUUGGGUGUAUAGAUAGAUAUAAAUAUCAUCUUGUUGUAGCGA
This is a long non-coding RNA of Mustela erminea (ermine), 361 nucleotides long. RefSeq lists it as uncharacterized. The record is from RefSeq and is a predicted model, not a curated record. Lineage: Eukaryota; Metazoa; Chordata; Mammalia; Carnivora; Mustelidae. The transcript has 3 exons.